RNAcentral lists this ribosomal RNA (782 nucleotides) under uncultured bacterium. RNAcentral describes it as "bacterial SSU rRNA". It matches the Rfam family "Bacterial small subunit ribosomal RNA", at positions 104 to 889 of the family's 1533-position model. The record is from RNAcentral.
GGGUGAGUAACGCGUAUGCAACCUGCCCCCGUCAGGGGAAUAGCCCGCCGAAAGGCGGAUUAAGGCCCCAUGGUCCGGGGCCCCGGCAUCGGGGUUCCGGUAAAGGCAACGGACGGGGAUGGGCAUGCGUGCCAUUAGCUAGCUGGGGGGGUAACGGCCCACCAGGGCGACGAUGGCUAGGGGAACUGAGAGGUUGGUCCCCCACACUGGUACUGAGACACGGACCAGACUCCUACGGGAGGCAGCAGUGAGGAAUAUUGGUCAAUGGGCGGAAGCCUGAACCAGCCAUGCCGCGUGCAGGAAGACGGCCCUACGGGUUGUAAACUGCUUUUCCGCGGGAAGAACGGCCCCCACGUGUGGGGGUGUGACGGUACCGCAGGAAUAAGGAUCGGCUAACUCCGUGCCAGCAGCCGCGGUAAUACGGAGGAUCCGAGCGUUAUCCGGAUUUACUGGGUUUAAAGGGUGCGUAGGCUGUUCGCUAAGUCAGCGGUGAAAUGGCGCGGCUCAACCGUGCAGCUGCCGUUGAAACUGGCGGGCUUGAGUGGGUUCGAGGCAGGCGGAAUGCGCGGUGUAGCGGUGAAAUGCAUAGAUAUCGCGCAGAACGCCAAUAGCGUAGGCAGCUUGCCAGACCCCAACUGACGCUGAGGCACGAAAGCGUGGGGAUCAAACAGGAUUAGAUACCCUGGUAGUCCACGCCGUAAACGAUGAUAGCUCGCUGUUGGCGAUACGCUGCCAGCGGCUCAGCGAAAGCGGUAAGCUAUCCACCUGGGGAGUACGGCCGC